ACCUGGCUGGCUCAGUUGGUAGAGCAUGCGACUCUUGAUCUCAGGGUUGUAAGGUCAAGUCCUAUGUUGGGUG
Molecule: transfer RNA, 73 nt
Filed under: Felis catus (domestic cat)
Lineage: Eukaryota; Metazoa; Chordata; Mammalia; Carnivora; Felidae
Also listed under: 2 other names
Rfam family: tRNA
About the family: Transfer RNA (tRNA) molecules are approximately 80 nucleotides in length. Their secondary structure includes four short double-helical elements and three loops (D, anti-codon, and T loops).
Source: Rfam by way of RNAcentral